AGCGAACGCUAGCGGCGGGCUUAACACAUGCAAGUCGAGCGCGUGGCUUCGGCCACGAGCGGCGAACGGGUGAGUAACACGUGGGAACCUGCCUUUGGGUACGGAACAACACCGGGAAACUGGUGCUAAUACCGUAUAAUGUCUACGGACCAAAGAUUUAUCGCCUGAAGAGGGGCCCGCGUUGGAUUAGCUUGUUGGUGAGGUAAAGGCUCACCAAGGCAACGAUCAGUAGCUGGUCUGAGAGGAUGAUCAGCCACACGGGCACUGAGACACGGGCCCGACUCCUACGGGAGGCAGCAGUAGGGAAUAUUGGACAAUGGGCGCAAGCCUUGAUCCAGCCAUCUCGCGUGAAGGAUUAAGGCCCUCUGGGUUGUAAACUUCUUUUCUUUGGGAAUAAAAACUCCGUUUCUACGGAGCUUGAAGGUACCAGAGGAAUAAGCACCGGCUAACUCCGUG
RNAcentral lists this ribosomal RNA (456 nucleotides) under uncultured bacterium. RNAcentral's name for it is "bacterial SSU rRNA". It matches the Rfam family "Bacterial small subunit ribosomal RNA", at positions 29 to 507 of the family's 1533-position model. The record is from RNAcentral.